UGGCUCUCGCAUCGAUGAAGAACGCAGCGAAAUGCGAUAAGUAAUGUGAAUUGCAGAAUUCAGUGAAUCAUCGAAUCUUUGAACGCACCUUGCGCUCCUUGGUAUUCCGAGGAGCAUGCCUGUUUGAGUGUCGCCAAAUUAUCAACUCCUUUUCAUUUUGUUGAAAUGUGAGCUUGAAGUUGGGGACUGUCGGUUUUAAAAUCGACUUCCCUUGAAUGCAUUAGCUGGAAGUAAAUUUGCAGCAUAUAUGCGGUGUGAUAAUGUCGUCACUGUAUAGCUACAGAUUGUUCAGGCUUCUAAUCGUCUUUUAUUAGACAAUUUGAUCAUUCUGGCCUCAAAUCAGGUAGGACUACCCGCUGA
This 360-nucleotide unclassified non-coding RNA is filed under the name uncultured fungus. Its description in RNAcentral is "partial contains 5.8S ribosomal RNA and internal transcribed spacer 2". The stretch from base 1 to 133 matches the Rfam family "5.8S ribosomal RNA", at positions 22 to 154 of the family's 154-position model. Lineage: Eukaryota; Fungi. The record is from RNAcentral.